RNAcentral lists this ribosomal RNA (605 nucleotides) under uncultured bacterium. Its description in RNAcentral is "bacterial SSU rRNA". It matches the Rfam family "Bacterial small subunit ribosomal RNA", at positions 338 to 1414 of the family's 1533-position model. The record is from RNAcentral.
CCUACGGGAGGCAGCAGUGGGGAAUAUUGGACAAUGGGCGCAAGCCUGAUCCAGCAAUGCCGCGUGAGUGAUGAAGGCCUUAGGGUCGUAAAGCUCUUUUACCAGGGAUGAUAAUGACAGUACCUGGAGAAUAAGCUCCGGCUAACUCCGUGCCAGCAGCCGCGGUAAUACGGAGGGAGCUAGCGUUGUUCGGAAUUACUGGGCGUAAAGCGUACGUAGGCGGUUAUUCAAGUCAGAGGUGAAAGCCCGGGGCUCAACCCCGGAACGGCCUUUGAAACUAGGUAGCUAGAAUCUUGGAGAGGUCAGUGGAAUUCCGAGUGUAGAGGUGAAAUUCGUAGAUAUUCGGAAGAACACCAGUGGCGAAGGCGACUGACUGGACAAGUAUUGACGCUGAGGUACGAAAGCGUGGGGAGCAAACAGGAUUAGAUACCCUGGUAGUCCACGCCGUAAACGAUGAUAACUAGCUGUCCGGGCACUUGGUGCCUGGGUGGCGCAGCUACGACAUAAGUUAUCCGCCGUGGGAGGUACGGUCGCAAGAAUUAAACUAACAAAGGAAGUUAGUACGGCGUGAGACGUGCCGAACGGACGACGACGAGGGGAGUAGG